This 28-nucleotide small RNA is filed under the name Bombyx mori (domestic silkworm). RNAcentral describes it as "ovarian small RNA-29906". The record is from RNAcentral. Lineage: Eukaryota; Metazoa; Arthropoda; Insecta; Lepidoptera; Bombycidae.
UCUGAAAUGCCUGCAGACCUGUUAACAA